GUGCCGUUAGCUCAGGCGGUAGAGCAUCUGACUUUUAAUCAGAGGGUCGCAGGUUCGAGUCCUGCACGGCACACCA
Molecule: transfer RNA, 76 nt
Filed under: Armatimonadota bacterium
Lineage: Bacteria; Bacillati; Armatimonadota
Description: Armatimonadetes bacterium (bioreactor metagenome) tRNA-Lys
Rfam family: tRNA
About the family: Transfer RNA (tRNA) molecules are approximately 80 nucleotides in length. Their secondary structure includes four short double-helical elements and three loops (D, anti-codon, and T loops).
Source: RNAcentral